Molecule: ribosomal RNA, 537 nt
Filed under: uncultured Ascomycota
Lineage: Eukaryota; Fungi; Ascomycota
Description: partial 18S ribosomal RNA
Rfam family: Eukaryotic small subunit ribosomal RNA
Source: RNAcentral
GGUUCUAUUUUGUUGGUUUCUAGGACCGCCGUAAUGACCAAUAGGGACGGUCGGGGGCGUCAGUAUUCAAUUGCCAGAGGUGAAAUUCUUGGAUCUAUUGAAGACUAACUACUGCGAAAGCAUUCGCCAAGGACGUUUUCGCUGAUCAGGAACGAAAGUUAGGGGAUCGAAGACGAUCAGAUACCGUCGUAGUCUUAACCAUAAACUAUGCCGAUUGGGGAUCGGACGAUGUUAUUUUUUGACUCGUUCGGCACCCUGCGAGAAAUCAAAAUUCUUGGGCUCCGGGGGGAGUAUGGUACGUUUAACCCACUAAACUGCUCUUUAAGUACGCUGUAAACUAACUAUCCUUCCAGGUGGCAACGCUGAAACUUAAAGAAAUUGACGGAAGGGCACCACCAGGUAAGUCGUCCGCCCCUAAAAAAAAAAACCUAUAGCGCCUUACUGACUAUUUCACAGGGGUGGAACCUGCGGCUUAAUUUGACUCAACACGGGGAAACUCACCAGGUCCAGACACAAUAAGGAUUGACAGAUUGAGAG